UGGUCCACAUCUCAUAGUCUUGGGCUUGGAUGAAUAUUCUCAUCCUAGCCUUCCAAUAUGAGUAGUCGGAUCCAUUAAAGAAUGGGGGUCUUUGGGUGGACUGACCCUCAAUGUGGGAAGAUCCAAAUGGGCUUGUCAUUUCGAUCUUUUACUCUUGGGUGGAAGAGUUUAGGCUCUGAUACCACUUGUUGCCCAGAUAGACAACCCAAGAGGGGGGGUGAAUUGGGUUUUAAAAUAAUUUAGCUAUUUAAAACGUUGUGGAUGACUAAUUAAAACUUUUGCAAGUUGUUUAAUUAAUUGCUAUGUGCAGUGUGUGAUAUGAGAGUAAGAGAAAGAGACACAAUCAAUCGCAAACACCAAGUUUUAUAGUGGUUCGGAGCUAACCCUUGCUCC
RNAcentral lists this long non-coding RNA (393 nucleotides) under Phoenix dactylifera (date palm). Its description in RNAcentral is "long non-coding RNA (PDAC_LNC009483)". The record is from RNAcentral. Lineage: Eukaryota; Viridiplantae; Streptophyta; Magnoliopsida; Arecales; Arecaceae.